CGGGGCGUAGCUCAGCCUGGCUAGAGCGCCUGCUUUGGGAGCAGGAGGCCGCAGGUUCAAAUCCUGUCGCCCCGA
This 75-nucleotide transfer RNA is filed under the name Phycisphaerales bacterium. Its description in RNAcentral is "tRNA-Pro". It matches the Rfam family "tRNA". From Rfam's summary of the family: Transfer RNA (tRNA) molecules are approximately 80 nucleotides in length. Their secondary structure includes four short double-helical elements and three loops (D, anti-codon, and T loops). Lineage: Bacteria; Pseudomonadati; Planctomycetota; Phycisphaerae; Phycisphaerales. The record is from RNAcentral.